UGGGGAAUUUUGCACAAUGGGCGAAAGCCUGAUGCAGCAACGCCGCGUGUGUGAUGAAGGUCUUCGGAUCGUAAAGCACUUUCGACCGGGACGAACAAGCCUGGCCACACCAGGCCCUGACGGUACCGGGAGAAGAAGCACCGGCUAACUCUGUGCCAGCAGCCGCGGUAAUACAGAGGGUGCAAGCGUUGUUCGGAAUUAUUGGGCGUAAAGCGCGUGUAGGCGGCUUAGCAAGUCGGGCGUGAAAGCCCUCGGCUCAACCGAGGAAGUGCACCCGAAACUGCUGAGCUUGAGUGCCGGAGAGGAUGGCGGAAUUCCCCAAGUAGAGGUGAAAUUCGUAGAUAUGGGGAGGAACACCGGUGGCGAAGGCGGCCAUCUGGACGGUAACUGACGCUGAGACGCGAAAGCGUGGGGAGCAAACAG
This 423-nucleotide ribosomal RNA is filed under the name uncultured bacterium. Its description in RNAcentral is "bacterial SSU rRNA". It matches the Rfam family "Bacterial small subunit ribosomal RNA", at positions 355 to 775 of the family's 1533-position model. The record is from RNAcentral.